AGUUGAGCACGACCACCCCAUGCUGACUACUCCCAGUAACCCUCUUCUCUUCCAAAAUGCUCAGGUCAUAAGUGUAUUGGUGUAGUGAUAUGGUUAUUUCUCUCCCUUUCUCUCUUCUUGAAUUUAAAACAGUAUAUUUGUAUCAGAGGGAAGAGGAAAAAAAAAGCCAUAAGAAUAUAUUUGCACUGUUUGCAAGUGAUCAUGAUUGAAGUGCAGUGCAGGCACACUCGUAUUUAACUGGCAAGAUUGUAAGGGAUGCACAAUGCUCCCAAAAGAGUCUGUACCUUAUUCAUGUCAACCUAUUAAUUCCUAAGGGAAAGGGGCAAAGAGGUUAUACUGGCUCCUCAAAUAUGCUCUGCUGCUCAAAGUUUUCCAUGGAAAUAAGAGGAGGCAUUACUUUUGGAGCAACCUAUGUAGAUUCUGUUCUUUGUAACAUGAAGGUGCCAGUAAUUCAACCAGGAAUUCAGAAAAAUGAAAGUUUGUGCUUUGUGGUAUACCUCACAUACUCUGAUGUCCUGAAAAUCUGGACUGGUGGGUGACUGGCAGAAGAGCAACUGCAAACACAGAUACAAGUAGUGCAGCCAGAUCCAGUAUUUCACUUCAAAAUGCACUGGACUGUCCUAUCCCCAGAUCCAGUUUUCUGUUCAACGUGAAAUGUUGAGUGUGUUUGCUGUUAUAAGGAUAUACAUAGUCAAGGGGAAGACUCUCAUGCAGAACAAAAAUGUGAGAUUUUACAGUGCAAAACAGUACAUGUGUGUCAGUCAUGGUAAAACUGAAAACUACACACAGCAUGAAUAAAUUAAUCAUGCCAUAUUCUGAAUGUGUGAUUUAAGAAUUGCACUGCAUGUCCACAACACAGAGCUGGCAGUGGGGCCGCAGGCUGCAUUGUGAGGUGUGGCCAGGGCUGCCCUCUGCUGCACCGUCAGUUCCUGCUGCACAUAUGCCAAGAUUGUACCACUGGGAAACAUAUUAGAAGUGUAGAAAACAAACAACAGUGUUUGAGAGGGGAGUGAGGGAAGAAAAAGUAUGAGCAACAAUCCUGUAGACACCAAGGCCAGAAAAGAAAAGGGAAGAGGUGCUCUAGGCAUCAGAACAGAGAUGUCCCUGCAGCGUGUAGAGGAGACCAUGAUGGAACAGGUUUAUCCUGAAGAACUGCAGCCUGUGAAGGGCCCAUGCUGGAGCAGAUGAACACCGUAAGAGGGAAGGAGCAGUAGAGAGACACAGCCACGUACUGACUACAUCCUCCCAUGCCCUUCCUGUGCUGAAGGAGGGCAAAUGCUAAAACUUGUUACAAAUUCUAGAAAUACUAGUUGAGUAAUUAUGUCAUGUAAGCAAAAACAAGACAACAACAACAAAACAAACAAAACAAUCGAAAACUCAUUCCAGUCCCAACUGCCUGUUUUGCUGUUUCUGAGUUUGUCUAGCUGAAAUGAGAUGACAAUGCUUGGUGCAUGAGUAAAAAAGAGGGGCAUGAAAUCUAGUUCUUCUACUCACAAUUUCUUUUCUUGAGAGUUAAAUCAUACAAUAUACAAUACCAUAUACAGUAGAAUUUACAAUAGCAUAUUACCUGGUCAUAGAACUUCACUAACAAGCUUCCUAUCAUAUACAACAAGUUCUGACAACCGAGAUUCCUAAUUUGGCAGCACUAACGGGGCUUUUGGUCUAUAAUUUUUGUUAUGUUCUAUACAUGAUGUUGUGAAAAUCUUUCUGAUAUGACAACUGUCUUUCGUAGGAGAGACUUGGGAUAACUGCAUUUGCUAAAGUCACAAAAAUAAAUUUAAACCAUAAUUUUCUUUAAAUUAUUCUUCCAAGAAUUCUGUCCGGAUAUUUUUGUCCUGAGAAAACUCCAUAGUCUACAUGAAAAAAAAACAAACAAAAAAACACCCAACCAAGCUAGCAAACAAAGACAACAGCUUUUAAUGUGUCAAUUAAGUUCCUA
Molecule: long non-coding RNA, 1939 nt
Organism: Gallus gallus (chicken)
Lineage: Eukaryota; Metazoa; Chordata; Aves; Galliformes; Phasianidae
Exons: 6
Source: RefSeq, a predicted model, not a curated record